This 573-nucleotide long non-coding RNA is filed under the name Vulpes vulpes (red fox). Its description in RNAcentral is "lncRNA (ENSVVUG00000008128.1)". The record is from RNAcentral. Lineage: Eukaryota; Metazoa; Chordata; Mammalia; Carnivora; Canidae.
AUGAAAAGAUCUGGCAAUACGGCGACCCAAAUACCCACAUGGCAACACAUGUCUGUUUCCAUCCAUAGACCUAGGGAACAGUCUUCAGUUCAUCAUGGCCACCAACUGCCUGGACUUUGUAUCUUUCUUUCUUUUUUUUUUUUUUUUUUAAGAUUUUAUUUGUUUAUUCAUAGAGUCAGAGAGAGAGAGAGAGAGAGAGAGAGAGGCAGAGACACAGGCAGAGGGAGAGGCAGGCAUCAUACAGAGAUGCCCGUUGUGAGACUAGAUCCAGGGUCUCCAGGAUCACGCCCUGGGCCGCAGGCGGUGCCAAACUGCUGUGCCACCAGGGCUGCCCCCUGCCUGGACUUUAUGAAACAGCUUGAAGAUGAAGACACUUCAGACAGGAACUGGUGCUGGCCCCAGAUUUCAGGACCUUUGAAAUGGAUGCCUGUAUUAAAUUCCCUCUAGUGAACUUACCUGGUGGUGACAUUGAAGAACGUUUGGACACUUACUGCUGCUGCUGACAUUGAAGAACGUUUGGACACUUACAUGAAACUUAAUAAAUAUAUAUAAAGUAUUUAUUUUUGUAUUUUA